Molecule: ribosomal RNA, 253 nt
Filed under: uncultured bacterium
Lineage: Bacteria
Description: partial 16S ribosomal RNA
Rfam family: Bacterial small subunit ribosomal RNA
Source: RNAcentral
CACGGGGGGAGCAAGCGUUGUUCGGAAUCACUGGGCGUAAAGGGCGUCUAGGCGGUCAGGUAAGUGGGAUGUGAAAUCCCUCGGCUCACCCGAGGACCUGCAUCCCAAACUGCUUGGCUUGAGUAUGGGAGAGGAUGAGGGAAUUCCUGGUGUAGCGGUGGAAUGCGCAGAUAUUGCUCGGAAGGCCGGAGCCGAAGGGGCCCCACUGGUACGUAACUGACGCUGAGGCACGAAAGCGUGGGGAGCAAACAGG